This 428-nucleotide ribosomal RNA is filed under the name uncultured bacterium. RNAcentral describes it as "bacterial SSU rRNA". It matches the Rfam family "Bacterial small subunit ribosomal RNA", at positions 355 to 776 of the family's 1533-position model. The record is from RNAcentral.
UGGGGAAUAUUGGACAAUGGGCGAAAGCCUGAUCCAGCAAUACCGCGUGUGUGAAGAAGGCCUUAGGGUUGUAAAGCACUUUCAAUUGGAAGGAAAAAAGUGAGGUCAAUACCCUCACUCUUGACAUUACCUUUAGAAGAAGCACCGGCUAACUCCGUGCCAGCAGCCGCGGUAAUACGGAGGGUGCGAGCGUUAAUCGGAAUUACUGGGCGUAAAGCGUGCGUAGGCGGCUCGUUAAGUCAGAUGUGAAAGCCCUGGGCUCAACCUGGGAACUGCAUUUGAAACUGGCGAGCUAGAGUUUGAGAGAGGUAAGUGGAAUUUCAGGUGUAGCGGUGAAAUGCGUAGAGAUCUGAAGGAACACCAGUGGCGAAGGCAGCCCCCUGGGAUAAUAUUGACGCUCAUGCACGAAAGCGUGGGGAGCAAACAGG